CCUACGGGAGGCAGCAGUGGGGAAUAUUGGACAAUGGGCGAAAGCCUGAUCCAGCCAUGCCGCGUGUGUGAAGAAGGCCUUCGGGUUGUAAAGCACUUUCAGUGGGGAAGAAAGCCUUGGGGCUAAUACCCUCGAGGAAGGACAUCACCCACAGAAGAAGCACCGGCUAACUCCGUGCCAGCAGCCGCGGUAAUACGGAGGGUGCGAGCGUUAAUCGGAAUUACGGGGCGUAAAGCGCGCGUAGGCGGUCUGAUAAGCCGGUUGUGAAAGCCCCGGGCUCAACCUGGGAACGGCAUCCGGAACUGUCAGGCUAGAGUGCAGGAGAGGAAGGUAGAAUUCCCGGUGUAGCAGUGAAAUGCGUAGAGAGCGGGAGGAAUACCAGUGGCGAAGGCGGCCUUCUGGACUGACACUGACGCUGAGGUGCGAAAGCGUGGGUAGCAAACAGGAUUAGAUACCCCGGUAGUC
RNAcentral lists this ribosomal RNA (465 nucleotides) under Vreelandella stevensii. RNAcentral describes it as "partial 16S ribosomal RNA". It matches the Rfam family "Bacterial small subunit ribosomal RNA", at positions 338 to 795 of the family's 1533-position model. The record is from RNAcentral. Lineage: Bacteria; Pseudomonadati; Pseudomonadota; Gammaproteobacteria; Oceanospirillales; Halomonadaceae.